CCUACGGGUGGCUGCAGUCGAGGAUCUUCGGCAAUGGACGCAAGUCUGACCGAGCGACGCCGCGUGCGGGAUGAAGGCCUUCGGGUUGUAAACCGCUGUCGGAGGGGAAGAAAUUUUGACUAACCCCUCGGAGGAAGCCCGGGCUAAGUUCGUGCCAGCAGCCGCGGUAACACGAACCGGGCAAACGUUAUUCGGAAUUACUGGGCUUAAAGGGUGCGUAGGCGGCGCUGUAAGUCGGGUGUGAAAUCCCUCGGCCUAACCGAGGAAUUGCGCCCGAUACUGCAGUGCUCGAGGAAGAUAGAGGUGGGCGGAACUAGCAGUGGAGCGGUGAAAUGCGUUGAUAUUGCUGGGAACACCCGUGGCGAAAGCGGCCCACUGGGUCUUUUCUGACGCUGAUGCACGAAAGCUAGGGUAGCGAACGGGAUUAGAUACCCUAGUAG
Molecule: ribosomal RNA, 440 nt
Filed under: uncultured bacterium
Lineage: Bacteria
Description: bacterial SSU rRNA
Rfam family: Bacterial small subunit ribosomal RNA
Source: RNAcentral